AAAUCUCCAAGAGGAGUCAGCCGACCCUGGCGGCUGAAACGGAGACUUUCUCCUGCGUUGAAAAUCAUUUUGAGACGGUUGUCCUCGGUUGCAACACGACACUUUGUGGGAAUUUUGAACAAGACCUGUGACCAAAAUGAAAGGGCAAGAUGCUUGAGUUGCUCAACAUGCAGACGCUGUUUGCUGAAAAAGCAGUUGAGAGUGAAUCGACUCUAGAGAAUCACAUCAAAACGUUCAGAGUAAACAUGGGGGUUUUUGCUUUGGUGCCUUUGGAACCAACAAGCAUCAGGAAGCUGUUGCUGUCCAGGAGAAUAAACAAAGUUGGCAAUGAGGGUUUGAGUCUCUCAGCUGCUCAAGACACAGAGAGACCAGCCCUAAUACACAGGGUGUGACCUCUCAGGUAGGUGAUGGCAUCCAGGAUGACUUGCAAGUUGAUCGCCUUCCACCUUCCUUCGAAUUGUGCUGAUGCUGCCCAACCUGGAAUAGUUGAAAAUAUUCUGCCCCGCUCCCCACAGAGGAUGAAGCUCGAGAAAGUCCAAGUGGAACUUCCAGAAAGGUAUCAUCAGAAGAAAUACUGAGGAUGAUCAAACAGGACAGCCAGUGGGGCUUUUUGUCGUCAAAAUGCUAACAUCCCACAGGGAAUGAGGAGAGGAGAGCAGAGCCCACCAGGCCGAACGCAUCUGAUUUCUAAGACCCUCAUCAAGUUCACAGCCCAGAAAGGCAUAAAGGGGAAAGUGUGCUGGGACCUGAAACUCUCACUCCACCCCUCAACCCCACCCCUGCACAUCAUGAAAACCAGCCUGGUGGAGCACUUUACCUGCCUAGCUUAUAGCAACGGCCACACACAGAGCAUAAUCUCUGAUUCUGUGAAGGCAACAAUAACUGCGUGUGUGGUUACCCUUGCCUUGCGCAUAAAUGACUUCCAGAUUUCCCUGAUAGUGUUACAGGCAAAAUGGCACACUAUGUCCUAAAUUUGGAUCAUCUGCAGAUACUUGUUCAUUCAAAAUGACCCUAGAGGGUUUUCGGAGGGGAAACGAGGAAAGGGGUUAUAACAUUUGAAAUGUAAAUAAAGAAAAUAUCCAAU
This 1084-nucleotide long non-coding RNA is filed under the name Mus musculus (house mouse). RNAcentral describes it as "predicted gene, 70705". The record is from RNAcentral. Lineage: Eukaryota; Metazoa; Chordata; Mammalia; Rodentia; Muridae.